AGAGUUUGAUCCUGGCUCAGAUUAACGCUAGCGGUAUGCCUAAUACAUGGCAAGUCUAGCGGGAGCAGCAAUGCAGCUAGCGGCAAACGGGUGAGUAAUACGUAUCUAAUCUACCCUUUAGAAAGGAACAACAGAUCGAAAGAUUUGCUAAUACCUUAUAGGACAUAGAUUUACAUGAAACUAUGUUUAAAGUUCCGCUCGGAACGCUUUAGGAUGAGGGUGCGGCUUAUCAGAUAGUUGGUGAGGUAAUGGCCCACCAAGUCAAUGACGAGUAGCUAUGCUGAGAGGUAGAAUAGCCACAAGGGGACUGAGACACGGCCCCUACUCCUACGGGAGGCAGCAGUAGGGAAUUUUUCACAAUGGGCGAAAGCCUGAUGGAGCAAUACCGCGUGAAUGAUGAAGGUCUUCGGAUUGUAAAAUUCUUUUAUAAGGGACGAACGAUGUGAACAGGAAAUGGUUCGCAAGUGACUGUACCUUUUGAAUAAGUAACGGCAAACUAUGUGCCAGCAGCCGCGGUAAUACAUAGGUUACAAGCGUUAUCCGGAUUUACUGGGCGUAAAGCGAGCGCAGGCUGAUUUACAAGUCUGGUGUUAAAUGCAUUUGCUUAACAAAUGUAUGCAUUGGAANCUGUAAAUCUAGAGUGUGAUAGGGAGNUCUGGAACUCCAUAUGGAGCCGGUGGAAUGUGUAGAUAUAUGGAAGAACACCUGUGGNGAAAAGCG
This 720-nucleotide ribosomal RNA is filed under the name uncultured rumen bacterium. RNAcentral's name for it is "bacterial SSU rRNA". It matches the Rfam family "Bacterial small subunit ribosomal RNA", at positions 8 to 723 of the family's 1533-position model. The record is from RNAcentral.